UUGGACCUGAUAUCAGGCAAGAUUACCGCUGACUUAC
This 37-nucleotide ribosomal RNA is filed under the name Phytophthora citricola. Its description in RNAcentral is "partial 28S ribosomal RNA". Lineage: Eukaryota; Oomycota; Peronosporomycetes; Peronosporales; Peronosporaceae. The record is from RNAcentral.